CAGCGCCUCAAGUGGUCAGGAUGAUUAUUGGGCCUAAAGCAUCCGUAGCCGGCGCUGUAAGUUUUCGGUUAAAUCUGUACGCUCAACGUACAGGCUGCCGGGAAUACUGCAGCGCUAGGGAGUGGGAGAGGUAGACGGUACUCGGUAGGAAGGGGUAAAAUCCUUUGAUCUAUUGAUGACCACCUGUGGCGAAGGCGGUCUACCAGAACACGUCCGACGGUGAGGGAUGAAAGCUGGGGGAGCAAAACGGAUUAGAUACCCGAGUAGUCC
Molecule: ribosomal RNA, 270 nt
Filed under: uncultured archaeon
Lineage: Archaea
Description: partial 16S ribosomal RNA
Rfam family: Archaeal small subunit ribosomal RNA
Source: RNAcentral